This 567-nucleotide ribosomal RNA is filed under the name uncultured bacterium. RNAcentral's name for it is "bacterial SSU rRNA". It matches the Rfam family "Bacterial small subunit ribosomal RNA", at positions 331 to 912 of the family's 1533-position model. The record is from RNAcentral.
GGAGACAUUACGGGAGGCAGCAGUGGGGAAUAUUGCGCAAUGGGCGAAAGCCUGACGCAGCGACGCCGCGUGUGGGAUGACGGCCUUCGGGUUGUAAACCACUGUCGGGAGGGACGAAGAUCUGACGGUACCUCCAAAGGAAGCACCGGCUAACUCUGUGCCAGCAGCCGCGGUAAUACAGAGGGUGCGAGCGUUGUCCGGAAUCACUGGGCGUAAAGGGCGCGUAGGCGGCCCGAUAAGUAGGGGGUGAAGUCUUGCGGCUCAACCGCAAGGCUGCCUUCUAAACUGUCGGGCUGGAGCACGGUAGAGGCAGAUGGAAUUCCCGGUGUAGCGGUGGAAUGCGUAGAGAUCGGGAAGAACACCAGUGGCGAAGGCGGUCUGCUGGGCCGUUGCUGACGCUGAGGCGCGACAGCGUGGGGAGCAAACAGGAUUAGAUACCCCUGGUAGUCCACGCCGUAAACGAUGGGCACUAGGCGUCGGGGGGAGCGACCCUCCCGGUGCCGUCGCUAACGCAGUAAGUGCCCCGCCUGGGGAGUACGGUCGCAAGGCUGAAACUCAAAGGAAUUG